This 476-nucleotide ribosomal RNA is filed under the name uncultured bacterium. RNAcentral's name for it is "bacterial SSU rRNA". It matches the Rfam family "Bacterial small subunit ribosomal RNA", at positions 24 to 507 of the family's 1533-position model. The record is from RNAcentral.
UCAGGGUUAACGCUGGCGGUGCGCAUAACACAUGCAAGUCGAGCGAGGGCUAUUUCCCGCAAGGGAGAUGAGUUCCUAGCGGCGAACGGGUGAGUAACACGUGGGCAACCUUUCCUAGUCGCGGGGGAUAACACCGGGAAACCGAUGCUAAUACCGCAUGUCGUCACUGGUCGCAUGGCUGGUGAAGAAAGCAGCAAUGCACGAUGGGGUGGGCCCGCGGCCUAUCAGCUAGUCGGUGGGGUAACGGCCUACCGAGGCGAUGACGGGUAGCUGGUCUGAGAGGACGACCAGCCACACGGGGACUGAGACACGGCCCCGACUCCUACGGGAGGCAGCAGUGAGGAAUCUUCCGCAAUGGGCGAAAGCCUGACGGAGCGACACCGCGUGUGCGAUGAAGUCCUUCGGGAUGUAAGGCACUGUCGGAGGGGAAGACAAAAAAGACGGUACCCUCCAAGAAAGCCCCGGCUAACUACGUG